Molecule: long non-coding RNA, 3400 nt
Organism: Planococcus citri (citrus mealybug)
Lineage: Eukaryota; Metazoa; Arthropoda; Insecta; Hemiptera; Pseudococcidae
Exons: 6
Source: RefSeq, a predicted model, not a curated record
UUUUUAGUUUUUUCAAACAUUUUUUCAAAUUUGAAAAAAAAUUUCAAUUUUCUUCUCGUGAUUGGUCGAAAUAAAAGUAAACAAACAAAUCAGCCAAUCAACACAGAGAAUCUAAAAUCGAUUAUCGAUAAUCGCGUAGCGCGACUCUAGCGCUAGCGACGCAACCUGAAAGUUGUAACAUUCCAUUCCAGUGAGUUGAGUCAUUCAUUGAAAAAUUGAUUAAUUACCGGAUUAUUUUAAAUAAUUAGUGAUGAAAAUGGUUCUUAUACAGCUUUCAAAAGCUGUAUUUAAAUACUGGAGUGUUAUUCCAUUGAAAUAUGCAUCAUUUUAAACUAACCGAAGUGAUCAGUGAGAAGCAAAAUGCUAUACGAUUAUAGCAGAACCUUCUUCGUAAAUUCAUCCUCGCCGGAAUUUAUUGUGGUAGUAAUCAUCGCUUCUAUUUACGAAUACAUAUAUCGAGCUUUCAUCGUUUGAUGAUUUACUCGUUAUGCGGAAAAUGAAACGUGAAAUCCGAGCGUUCGAAUAUCAAGCGUCAGUUCGUAGGCCUAUCCAGCUUUAUACGUAUAUAUAGAAAGAAAUUUACGACGAUCAGUUCGAAGCUUUACGUAAAAAUACUCACGCUGAGUAAUUCUUCGUCGUUAGUCGUUAGAUUCGACAUUUUUGUUUACGAAGGAGACUGCAGAUGAUUGGAUUCGCGAAGAACUGGUUGUUCGAUUACAUUUACUUUCGUUACACCGGUCAAAAGUGUUCUACGUUUGAUAAACUUACUGGAUGAGAUCAUCACCGGUGAACUGGAACAGUAGAAAAUGAACAGGAAUGGCUUCGCUUUGCUUAUGUCAUCCGAGUACCUUCAUAGAACACCGAAUAUCAUACUGGAGUUAUGAUCCUGGAAAUUCUGUUACUGAAAACGACGUAAAACAAGAUGGCAAAGUCAUAGACGAUGAUGGUGAACUGCAACUGAAGUGAACAGCUGUUGAAAUCUCGAUCCGAGGAGUACCUAGUACAAUUUGUGAUAAUGAAUAAUCGAAGAAAAUCGAACUAGUGAUGACUUACGAGAGCAGACUUCUUUGCCACUAUCUCGUACUCGUCAAGUAGAAGUCUUAUUACUGCAUCGUGAAAUUUGAUUUUUAAAAGAUUGACUUCGAAUGCGAUUACCUACCGCUAAACUGAACGAAGAAAGGAUUGAAUAUCGGAUUCAUCAGCGUUGAACGAUGAGUAAUGAUCUGGGAGUUCAAGACAGAUCCUGAUCUAAGAACGGUAUUCGGAUGCAGCUCCUACCUACCUGUGAUAUCAUCAGCUCCAGAAUAUUCUCCAGCUUCGAACGUGCGACAUCGACACCUUAUGUAUGUUAGCUGAUAUCUCUCGCCUCCCACCCGCCUGUCCAGUUUCAAUUUAACGCGAUCUGCUUUUGACGGAAUAGCCAGCGCAGCGUGGCGAUUUUAUUCGGCGGAACCGGAAUUUUACCGAGCUUCGAGAAGCACUUUUUAAGCAUGUACGUACAAUGUUUGUAAAAAAUGUAACUUGCCCCCCCCCUGUCCCUUUAACGCAGCAUUUAUACGAUGGACGCGAUACAGCGCAGAAUAAUUAUUUUUUGAGAAGUAGGAUACUCAGACUUACCAGCUCGCAGAACGAUAUUUUUCACGUGCAAUUUUUAUCACGUGCGAAUUUAUUGAAUGGUCAUCAUUACCCUCGUUGACCUAUACAUUUGAACGCAGCACUUGAGUGUGAUAAUUUUAGCUGACAUAAUACAUAUGUGUACUUCUACGUCAAAAGGGCCCAUUCGGUCGGUGCCGAGAAGGGUAUAGAUUUUAUUUUUCAAAAAUCAAAAUAAGCUUCCAAUGUUCUCCGGUGGAUUCCAACAGUGUUUGAGUGUGAAGCUGUCCAUGAAAGCAUCACGUUCGCGCGCCAUUUAAAUCAAUUGGAAAACUUUGGAAGAUUGUACCGAUUUUUGAAAAAUAAAAUCUACACCCUUCUCGGCACCGACCGAAUGGGCCCUUUUGACGUAGAAGUACACAUAUUAUUCCAGUUUGAAGAACGAUAUUCUAAGCAUGCGAAUUUGUAAACGUGAUUAUAUCCUCGCUUACUACAUAUUUGAUGAUUGAAAUGAUUCUAUUGGAAGAGCUCUACGUCGUCGGGCUGAACGUUGUGCAAAGUCUUUUGUGUCUGGAAGCUGGCAUCUGCUACGCCAUGUAGGAGGCGUGUGACUGUGAAGUGUGCGCGAAGUUGGCGAAGGCUUCAAAAUAGGCAUAUGGGGUAAGAUUCGAGACGGAGGUUGGUGCGUACGGACCUCCGAGUCGACCGAGCUCGGACUGCCCUUGUGGCCGACUUAGGCGAGGUUAGGGUAGAAAUCCGUGCGCCGUCUACUUGCUUACUGCUUCCCGGCGGUACACGUGCCGACCGGGGUUUUUACAGGAUCGGGCUUAUCAAAUGGGAUGUAGGCUGGCGCCUUUCAGGCGGUCUGUUAUCACUUCGUAGGAGUGUAACUUUUAUUCCUACGCUGAGGUCAGCGUGUUGUAAAUUUUACUCUGGUACGAAGUUAUAACCGACCUGUCUGCGGGGUCAGCUAUAUACCUUGCCUUGAGGAUAAGUUCAGCCUAUCCCGCAGUGUUGGCGCUUUGGUAGAAUGCCAUGAUGAGUCAUGAACAUUCAGCAGCACUGCCCGUGGUGAGUGUAGGGAAUUUGAGAUACUGUUCCGGAGAGUUGGGCCCGACAAAGGGUUCGAUUGUCUGGACUGUUGAGAGUGCGAGAAGAGCGGAUGUCGAUCUGGAUUUUUAUGCUUUGUUAGAAUCUAGGUAAACGUGUAAGGUCUUUCCGUCAUCGUAUGGGUAGAGAUUGUUCAAAAAUUGAUCUAUUAAAAUGAUUAGCAGCGAACUUUCUAGGAAUGUGUUUUGGUCAUCAUUGGUCGGAUGGGAAAUGACUGGGGUUCGAUUUUGGUACUGUGUGAAGAGUCAGGUACAGGUGAGUCGUCACAAUGUUACGUAUUAUAAGUUAGUUUAUACAAGUCGAUUCAGGUGAGUCGUUAUUUAAUUACUUAUUAAUUAAGAUAACCUUAUUUGCGUCAAAUUUGAGAUAUGAGACAGCGUAAUUGUCAAGCAUUGACGCUGUUUUACAAUGAAAUUUGUCGAGAAAUUGAGAUUAGGACACCCCCCCCCCCGUCCCUCUACUUUUUAUGUACAUAAUGUUGGUGUUGUAUCACAUUUUUGUUUGUAUAUUUCUUUAAUUGAAAAUUUGUAUCAAUCACAUGUUAUUAUUAUUCGUGUAUUUUUGUAAUGACCAGUCAUGGUUUUUCACUAUCGAGCGGCCGGCAGUGUUUCUUAAUCGAGGUUGGUCAACGUGUUGUAGAAUUAAGAUUGUAUUGAUUUUCUUUGCCGUUGAAAGAUUGAAACGAUUUUCGUUUUGU